Cannabis sativa is the source of this 1321-nucleotide RNA transcript. RefSeq lists it as uncharacterized. The record is from RefSeq and is a predicted model, not a curated record. Lineage: Eukaryota; Viridiplantae; Streptophyta; Magnoliopsida; Rosales; Cannabaceae. The transcript is spliced from 2 exons.
UAUUAUCAAGCCAUUUUACACCCCUAUAUAAGAGCAUAUUACUCUUUGAAUGAAUACACAUCUUCAUUAUAUUUCUCUCCCUUCUUCUAAUUUAUCUUCCAAAAUGUCUUCAAUUAGAACUUUGUCAUACUCACUUGAAGAAGAUAUACAUUUAUGUCGUGUAUAUCUUGACAUUUCUCAAAAUCCAAUUAUAGGAAUAAACCAAUCCUAAGAUCAGUUUUGGGUAAGAGUGGAAGCUGAGUACCACUUACCCGAGAUGUUUACGACUCAACGUAGACCUAGAAGAUCUUUGCAAAGCCAAAUGACAACAAUUCUUGCUGCAGUUUCAAAAUUCAGAGGAUGCAUUAAUCAAAUUGAAAACAAAAAUUCGAGUGGUGCUUCAGAGCAAGAUAUUAUAAAUCAAGAAAAAAUAUUCAAAUAUGAUCAUGUGUGGCCCAUACUUAAAGAUUGUGAGAAAUUUACAAAUAACAAUGCCAAUGGAGCAACUAGAUUUCAACAACAAGGUGGAAACUUUACUGUAUCCCAAUCAGGCUCUCUCGAUUUUGAGUCAUCAACAUCGGCAUCCCCUGGUAUGAAUUCAUUUGAUCUCAAUAUGACUGAUGAACAAAUCGAUGUUAACUUAACAGAAAGACCUAUUGGUGUGAAGAAAGCAAAAGAAAAAGUCAAAAGUGAAGAACAAUAUAAAAAACUAAUGGAACAGAGUGAACGACUUGUUGAAGCAUUAAUAAAGAGUAACUGUGACAGAAAUGAAAUUCAAAGAGAAAAAAAAUAGGAUUCAAAAGCAAAAAAAUGAUGUGGCUACAAUGAAAGAGGAAAAUAAAAUUAUAUUUAUGGAUUCAAACUCUAUAUCCGAUUUAGAGAGUCGUAAGUAUAUUCAAAGUAAAAAAAAAAAGAAUACUAAAAAAAAGAGCACAAACAUCGCAACAUGAAGAACAAGGAGAAGGAUCUGAAUAUCAGGGUUCUCAAUACCGAGCAUCUCAACAUCAAGGAACUGAAGAUGCAGGAUCUUUAGGUGAAGGAUCUGAAAAUUCAUCAAAAGAUUAUAGUCAAUAUUAUAAUUAUCUUGGCGGAACUGGAAAUGACUUUUCGCAUUUUUAGAUUUAGUUAAUUUUUUUUCUAAGUUCUAUGUUGCUUUGUUUUGGUGUUGUCUUAGUAUGUUUCAUUAUUAUGUUAGUUUUUUUAACUUUGUUUAAACUCUUUGUUUGUUUCGUUUCCUUAAGUGUAUUUGAAUUUAAUUUUAUAUGUUUGCUUAAGUGUGUAAUGUUUUAAUUUUUUUUUAUGUGGUACUUUUAAUUAAUGGAUGUAGUAUAUAGUUUUCUUA